This is a non-coding RNA of Chlorocebus sabaeus (green monkey), 348 nucleotides long. The record is from RefSeq and is a predicted model, not a curated record. NCBI's taxonomy places the organism in Eukaryota, Metazoa, Chordata, Mammalia, Primates, Cercopithecidae.
UGUUCAGAAAACACCAGGUUUGAUCAUGGAGAGCUGGUUUAUCAUGCAUUGCAAUUGUUAGCAUAUACAGCCCUUGGUAUUUUAAUUAUGAGACUAAAACUCUUCUUGACACCACACAUGUGUGUUAUGGCAUCUUGAUCUGCUCAAGACAGCUAUUUGGAUGGCUCUUUUGCAAAGUACAUCCUGGUGCUGUUGUUUUUGCUAUAUUAGCAGCAAUGUCAAUACAAGGUUCAGCAAAUCCGCAAACCCAGUGGAAUAUUGUAAAGGGGAGUUUCAGCAAUUUGCCACAAGAAGAACUUAUAGAGUGGAUCAAAUAUAGUACUAAACCAGGUAAAAAAAAAAAAAAAA